CUCCAAUAAAAGUAGGUUACUCUAUGUGUAGGUUCUAUUGUCCACUCUAAGAUAGAAUAAAAGUAGGUUUACUCUAUAUGUAGAGUAAUUUAUCUAAUUUCGAUCAUCAAUUUAUUUUUCACUCUAAAAUAGAGUACAUUGUAGCAAACACUACAAGAAAAAAAUGGUUUUGAUAGCAGUAGAGGAUAUCAUUUUUUGUAUUUCUGCUAUGGUUGACAUACCCUUUAAUUUUAGAUAGUGUUUGUAUAUUUGGAAAUACUAUGAUAGAGUGGUAUAUUCGGAAACACUAUGAAGCGUAUAUUUAAUAGCAAAACAUAAUGAAAUGCUAUAUUUAGCUUUUUGAAUCUCCAAACCCUAAACAAGUUUUUAAUCCCUAAACUCUAAACAUAACUUAAAACUCUAAUUCCGCAUACUAUAAACCAUUGGAGAUGGUCUAAAAUGGUCUUACACUGCAUAAAAUAUCACUACUUUGAUGAACACCAGUGGGGUCGGUUUGACAUUAU
Molecule: long non-coding RNA, 503 nt
Filed under: Brassica napus (rape)
Lineage: Eukaryota; Viridiplantae; Streptophyta; Magnoliopsida; Brassicales; Brassicaceae
Description: long non-coding RNA (BNAP_LNC011733)
Source: RNAcentral